This is a long non-coding RNA of Syngnathoides biaculeatus (alligator pipefish), 974 nucleotides long. RefSeq lists it as uncharacterized. The record is from RefSeq and is a predicted model, not a curated record. NCBI's taxonomy places the organism in Eukaryota, Metazoa, Chordata, Actinopteri, Syngnathiformes, Syngnathidae. The transcript has 4 exons.
CAGAAUUUCUGUGCCCCGCCUCUCCCACCAUCUUCCCCCCCCCCCAAAAAAAAGGCAGACAGCAAAGAUCUGAAACAAGCUGUGCAGGCCAACCGAGGAGGCUUCAUACCUGGACGGGGACCAGACCCCACCGGGAGCCCCGGAGCUCCCGCUGAGCUCGGGGAGGAGGCGAAACGGACCAAACAAAAACACAAGCAGGCAUCCGCACGUGUGAAGGUCUCGUGUGCAUAUAUUGGAAUCUUCAAAGAUGGCUCAUUACAGAUGAACUGCAAACCCACAGUAUUUUGGGUUCUGUGCUUCUUUCGAGUGCCAAGCGAGCUCCGUAAUCACCAGCACAGCAGUCACAUGACACAACUGACACCCUGGAGAUAUUUGGAAAGUGGGGUUGUGGGGGGUGCUAAAAAGGUACAGCGGCGACAGAAUAGAAUGCUGAGCGCAUUUAAACGCCGCCAAGUGUCUGUGCCGGAGAGUCCCCGGCAAAAGCUGGCGAGAAGUGAUGGAGAAAGUCAUUAAGAGAAGCCUGUUCAAGUAGAUAGGCCCCGAAAGGAGAUUUGAAAAGGGGGAACUGAUUGCGCUUGUCUCAAUGCGCCUCUUCACCAGUUCUCAGCACCUCGAGGCUUACGGAGCGCUUUCAAAGGCGCCCUCCGCGCCGCACAGCUCCAGCUGCCGACGCCGCUUUUGGGUGUGUUUGAGAAAAAUGUUGAUCCACAUCCUUCUAUCUUCCCUAUCAAUUCAUUUGAACUGCUCGCGCCAUAUUUCAAAUACCACAAAUGUCCAAUGAUUAAGAUUAAAUUGAGAUACUAUUGAAUGUGUUAUGUUAGUGGAACAUAUUAGACCUUCAUUAGUCCUGCAAUAGCAUUUUUUUUUUACAGCAAUUAUAAGGGUUGCGUCAGGAAGGGCAUCCGGCGUAAAAAUUGUGCCAAACAUAUGUGCGUUCAUCUGAGAUGACACGCUGUGGCGACCCCGAAAGGGAC